Long non-coding RNA from Cucumis sativus (cucumber), 142 nucleotides. RefSeq lists it as uncharacterized. The record is from RefSeq and is a predicted model, not a curated record. Lineage: Eukaryota; Viridiplantae; Streptophyta; Magnoliopsida; Cucurbitales; Cucurbitaceae. The transcript has 2 exons.
GUGGUAUGAAAAUUGUGCAAAUGCCGAUCCUUCCAACAGGAGUCUAGAGGUAGUAAUUCUUCAGGAUUUCAAGUGGUAUGACUUUAUUCUGAAUUUACACAAAAUAUACAAUGGGACAUAUUUGACGGUGAAAAACGUAACA